Armillaria nabsnona is the source of this 90-nucleotide non-coding RNA. NCBI's taxonomy places the organism in Eukaryota, Fungi, Basidiomycota, Agaricomycetes, Agaricales, Physalacriaceae. The record is from the annotation of a GenBank genome assembly.
GGCAGAAUGGCCGAGUGGUUAAGGCGCCAGAAUUAGGUGUCCCUUUGUAUCUGGUUCGAAAGAGCGUGGGUUCGAACCCCACUUCUGUCA